GAUGAACGCUAGCUACAGGCUUAACACAUGCAAGUCGAGGGGAAACGGCAUCGAAAGCUUGCUUUUGAUGGGCGUCGACCGGCGCACGGGUGAGUAACGCGUAUCCAACCUGCCCAUCACUUGGGAAUAACCUUGCGAAAGUAAGACUAAUGCCCAAUGACAUCCCACGAAGGCAUCCGAAUGGGAUUAAAGAUUUAUCGGUGAUGGAUAGGGAUGCGUCUGAUUAGCUUGUUGGCGGGGUGACGGCCCACCAAGGCAACGAUCAGUAGGGGUUCUGAGAGGAAGGUCCCCCACAUUGGAACUGAGACACGGUCCAGACUCCUACGGGAGGCAGCAGUGAGGAAUAUUGGUCAAUGGGCGAGAGCCUGAACCAGCCAAGUAGCGUGCAGGAUGACGGCCCUAUGGGUUGUAAACUGCUUUUAUAAGGGAAUAAAGUGGGUCACGUGUGACUUUUUGCAUGUACCUUAUGAAUAAGGACCGGCUAAUUCCGUG
Molecule: ribosomal RNA, 492 nt
Filed under: uncultured bacterium
Lineage: Bacteria
Description: partial 16S ribosomal RNA
Rfam family: Bacterial small subunit ribosomal RNA
Source: RNAcentral